GUUGUUUAGUAUUUUUAAGAUGCUGAGGAAGAGAAUAUCAAGAAGAAGACUUGCAGUUUUUGUACACUGUUCAAUGAACAGAUAGUUGAAGUUCAAGAAGCAACAAAAAAAACUGGCUUACUUUAAACUAAUUAAUGUCAUACUUUCCUUGAAUCAUUCUGUUAAUGUAUGUAAUGCUCAUUAUUUUUGGACUUUGUUGUCUUUGAUGCUGUUGAAAUAAAAAUAUUCUUUUCUAU
Molecule: long non-coding RNA, 236 nt
Organism: Xenia sp. Carnegie-2017
Lineage: Eukaryota; Metazoa; Cnidaria; Anthozoa; Malacalcyonacea; Xeniidae
Exons: 2
Source: RefSeq, a predicted model, not a curated record